GCCGCGAUAGCUCAGUCUGGUAGAGCGUUACCUUGGUAAGGUAAAGGUCUCGGGUUCAAUUCCCGAUCGCGGCU
This 74-nucleotide transfer RNA is filed under the name Nitrososphaerota archaeon. Its description in RNAcentral is "Thaumarchaeota archaeon tRNA-Thr". It matches the Rfam family "tRNA". From Rfam's summary of the family: Transfer RNA (tRNA) molecules are approximately 80 nucleotides in length. Their secondary structure includes four short double-helical elements and three loops (D, anti-codon, and T loops). Lineage: Archaea; Thermoproteati; Nitrososphaerota. RNAcentral also lists the same sequence under 1 other name. The record is from RNAcentral.